Molecule: ribosomal RNA, 568 nt
Filed under: uncultured bacterium
Lineage: Bacteria
Description: partial 16S ribosomal RNA
Rfam family: Bacterial small subunit ribosomal RNA
Source: RNAcentral
UGGGGAAUAUUGCACAAUGGGCGCAAGCCUGAUGCAGCCAUGCCGCGUGUGUGAAGAAGGCCUUCGGGUUGUAAAGCACUUUCAGCGAGGAGGAAGGUGGUGAGCUUAAUACGCUCAUCAAUUGACGUUACUCGCAGAAGAAGCACCGGCUAACUCCGUGCCAGCAGCCGCGGUAAUACGGAGGGUGCAAGCGUUAAUCGGAAUUACUGGGCGUAAAGCGCACGCAGGCGGUUUGUUAAGUCAGAUGUGAAAUCCCCGGGCUCAACCUGGGAACUGCAUUUGAAACUGGCAAGCUAGAGUCUCGUAGAGGGGGGUAGAAUUCCAGGUGUAGCGGUGAAAUGCGUAGAGAUCUGGAGGAAUACCGGUGGCGAAGGCGGCCCCCCUGGACGAAGACUGACGCUCAGGUGCGAAAAGCGUGGGGCAGCAAACAGGAUUAGAUACCCUGGUAGUCCACGCUGUAAACGAUGUCGAUUUGGAGGUUGUGCCCUUGAGGCGUGGCUUCCGGAGCUAACGCGUUAAAUCGACCGCCUGGGGAGUACGGCCGCAAGGUUAAAACUCAAAGGAAUUG